Molecule: ribosomal RNA, 253 nt
Filed under: uncultured bacterium
Lineage: Bacteria
Description: partial 16S ribosomal RNA
Rfam family: Bacterial small subunit ribosomal RNA
Source: RNAcentral
UACGGAGGGGGCAAGCGUUAUUCGGAAUUAUUGGGCGUAAAGGGCGCGUAGGCGGCUAGAUGUGUCAAAGGUGAAAUCCCUCGGCUCAACUGAGGAACUGCCUUUGAAACUGUCUGGCUUGAGGCCGGGAGGGGGUAGCGGAAUUCCCAGUGUAGCGGUGAAAUGCGUAGAUAUUGGGAGGAACACCAGUGGCGAAGGCGGCUACCUGGACCGGUUCUGACGCUGAGGCGCGAAAGCGUGGGGAGCAAACAGG